CCUACGGGAGGCAGCAGUGAGGAAUAUUGGUCAAUGGACGAGACCCUGAACCAGCCAAGUAGCGUGAAGGAUGACUGCCCUAUGGGUUGUAAACUUCUUUUAUAUGGGAAUAAAAUGUUCCACGUGUGGGAUUUUGUAUGUAUCAUAUGAAUAAGGAUCGGCUAACUCUGUGCCAGCAGCCGCGGUAAUACGGAGGAUCCGAGCGUUAUCCGGAUUUAUUGGGUGUAAAGGGAGCGUAGGUGGAUUGUUAAGUCAGUUGUGAAAGUUUGCGGCUCAACCGUAAAAUUGCAGUUGAAACUGGCAGUCUUGAGUACAGUAGAGGUAGGUGGAAUUCGUGGUGUAGCGGUGAAAUGCUUAGAUAUCACGAAGAACUCCGAUUGCGAAGGCAGCUUACUGGACUGCAACUGACACUGAGGCUCGAAAGUGUGGGUAUCAAACAGGAUUAGAUACCCUGGUAGUC
This 460-nucleotide ribosomal RNA is filed under the name uncultured bacterium. RNAcentral's name for it is "partial 16S ribosomal RNA". It matches the Rfam family "Bacterial small subunit ribosomal RNA", at positions 338 to 795 of the family's 1533-position model. The record is from RNAcentral.